RNAcentral lists this ribosomal RNA (253 nucleotides) under uncultured bacterium. RNAcentral's name for it is "partial 16S ribosomal RNA". It matches the Rfam family "Bacterial small subunit ribosomal RNA", at positions 524 to 776 of the family's 1533-position model. The record is from RNAcentral.
UACGAAGGGGGCUAGCGUUGUUCGGAAUCACUGGGCGUAAAGCGCACGUAGGCGGACUUUCAAGUCAGGGGUGAAAUCCCGGGGCUCAACCUCGGAAUUGCCUUUGAUACUGUCAAUCUCGAGUCCGGGAGAGGUGAGUGGAAUUCCUAGUGUAGAGGUGAAAUUCGUAGAUAUUAGGAAGAACACCAGUGGCGAAGGCGGCUCACUGGCCCGGAACUGACGCUCAUGAGCGAAAGCGUGGGGAGCAAACAGG